This 90-nucleotide transfer RNA is filed under the name Paracoccaceae bacterium. RNAcentral's name for it is "Rhodobacteraceae bacterium (hot springs metagenome) tRNA-Ser". It matches the Rfam family "tRNA". From Rfam's summary of the family: Transfer RNA (tRNA) molecules are approximately 80 nucleotides in length. Their secondary structure includes four short double-helical elements and three loops (D, anti-codon, and T loops). The record is from RNAcentral. Lineage: Bacteria; Pseudomonadati; Pseudomonadota; Alphaproteobacteria; Rhodobacterales; Paracoccaceae.
GGAGAGGUGGCAGAGUGGUCGAAUGCGGCGGUCUCGAAAACCGUUGUGGGUUUGCGCCCACCCAGGGUUCGAAUCCCUGUCUCUCCGCCA